AGAUAGUAUCAAUGUAGACUCGAAAUUCGAAACUCAAGACUAGCCGGGAAUGAGAGAUUGCACCUCAGAAUUCGGACAAGAGGUACUGAACAGUAUAAGGAGCAACAACUCACAACACCAACUACAAGUGAGAUGUCCAACCUGGUGAUGCAGAUGUAGACGAGUUGGCCAACAAUGUGUCCUAGUGACUAGGAUCGGCAAGAGACACCAUUAGUCGGUUU
Molecule: unclassified non-coding RNA, 221 nt
Filed under: Hevea brasiliensis (rubber tree)
Lineage: Eukaryota; Viridiplantae; Streptophyta; Magnoliopsida; Malpighiales; Euphorbiaceae
Source: RNAcentral